CAGGCCUAACACAUGCAAGUCGAACGCAUCCUUCGGGGUGAGUGGCAGACGGGUGAGUAACACGUGGGAACGUACCCUUUGGUUCGGAAUAACGCAGGGAAACUUGCGCUAAUACCGGAUACGCCCUUUUGGGGAAAGGCUUGCUGCCGAAGGAUCGGCCCGCGUCCGAUUAGCUUGUUGGUGAGGUAAUGGCUCACCAAGGCUUCGAUCGCUAGCUGGUCUGAGAGGAUGACCAGCCACAUUGGGACUGAGACACGGCCCAAACUCCUACGGGAGGCAGCAGUGGGGAAUAUUGGACAAUGGGCGCAAGCCUGAUCCAGCCAUGCCGCGUGAGUGAUGACGGCCUUAGGGUUGUAAAGCUCUUUUACCUGGGAAGAUAAUGACGGUAGCCAGGAGCAUAAGCCCCGGCUAACUUCGUGCCAGCAGCCGCGGUAAU
This 436-nucleotide ribosomal RNA is filed under the name uncultured bacterium. RNAcentral's name for it is "bacterial SSU rRNA". It matches the Rfam family "Bacterial small subunit ribosomal RNA", at positions 43 to 524 of the family's 1533-position model. The record is from RNAcentral.